AACGAACGCUGGCGGCAUGCCUAACACAUGCAAGUCGAACGAGAUCUUCGGGUCUAGUGGCGCACGGGUGCGUAACGCGUGGGAAUCUGCCCUUUGGUUCGGAAUAACAGUUGGAAACGACUGCUAAUACCGGAUGAUGACGAAAGUCCAAAGAUUUAUCGCCAGAGGAUGAGCCCGCGUAGGAUUAGCUAGUUGGUGUGGUAAAGGCGCACCAAGGCGACGAUCCUUAGCUGGUCUGAGAGGAUGAUCAGCCACACUGGGACUGAGACACGGCCCAGACUCCUACGGGAGGCAGCAAUGGGGAAUAUUGGACAAUGGGCGAGAGCCUGAUCCAGCAAUGCCGCGUGAGUGAUGAAGGCCUGAGGGUUGUAAAGCUCUUUUACCCGGGAUGAUAAUGACAGUACCGGGAGAAUAAGCUCCGGCUAACUCCGUGCCAGCCGCCGCAGUAA
RNAcentral lists this ribosomal RNA (449 nucleotides) under uncultured bacterium. RNAcentral describes it as "partial 16S ribosomal RNA". It matches the Rfam family "Bacterial small subunit ribosomal RNA", at positions 29 to 523 of the family's 1533-position model. The record is from RNAcentral.